ACAAGCGGUGGAUGAUGUGGAUUAAUUCGAUGCAACGCGAAGAACCUUACCUACCCUUGACAUGUCCGGAACUUGCCAGAGAUGGCUUGGUGCCCGAAAGGGAAUCGGAACACAGGUGCUGCAUGGCUGUCGUCAGCUCGUGUCGUGAGAUGUUGGGUUAAGUCCCGCAACGAGCGCAACCCUUAUCAUUAGUUGCUACGCAAGGGCACUCUAAUGAGACUGCCGGUGACAAACCGGAGGAAGGUGGGGAUGACGUCAAGUCCUCAUGGCCUUUAUGACCAGGGCUACACACGUACUACAAUGGCCGGUACAAAGGGCAGCGACACAGCGAUGUGAAGCGAAUCCCGAAAAGCCGGUCUCAGUCCGGAUUGGAGUCUGCAACUCGACUCCAUGAAGUUGGAAUCGCUAGUAAUCGCGGAUCAGCACGCCGCGGUCGAAUACGUUCCCGGGCCUU
RNAcentral lists this ribosomal RNA (454 nucleotides) under uncultured Alcaligenaceae bacterium. RNAcentral describes it as "bacterial SSU rRNA". It matches the Rfam family "Bacterial small subunit ribosomal RNA", at positions 925 to 1382 of the family's 1533-position model. Lineage: Bacteria; Pseudomonadati; Pseudomonadota; Betaproteobacteria; Burkholderiales; Alcaligenaceae. The record is from RNAcentral.